This 502-nucleotide ribosomal RNA is filed under the name uncultured Alphaproteobacteria bacterium. RNAcentral describes it as "bacterial SSU rRNA". It matches the Rfam family "Bacterial small subunit ribosomal RNA", at positions 39 to 587 of the family's 1533-position model. Lineage: Bacteria; Pseudomonadati; Pseudomonadota; Alphaproteobacteria. The record is from RNAcentral.
GCGGCAUGCCUAACACAUGCAAGUCGAACGAGACCUUCGGGUCUAGUGGCGCACGGGUGCGUAACGCGUGGGAAUCUGCCCUUGGGUUCGGAAUAACAGUGAGAAAUUACUGCUAAUACCGAAUGAUGACGUAAGUCCAAAGAUUUAUCGCCCAAGGAUGAGCCCGCGUAGGAUUAGCUAGUUGGUGAGGUAAAAGCUCACCAAGGCGACGAUCCUUAGCUGGUCUGGGAGGAUGAUCAGCCACACUGGGACUGAGACACGGCCCAUACUCCUACGGGAGGCAGCAGUGGGGAAUAUUGGACAAUGGGCGAAAGCCUGAUCCAGCAAUGCCGCGUGAGUGAUGAAGGCCUUAGGGUUGUAAAGCUCUUUUACCCGGGAUGAUAAUGACAGUACCGGGAGAAUAAGCUCCGGCUAACUCCGUGCCAGCAGCCGCGGUAAUACGGAGGGAGCUAGCGUUAUUCGGAAUUACUGGGCGUAAAGCGCACGUAGGCGGCUUUGUAAG